RNAcentral lists this long non-coding RNA (3401 nucleotides) under Homo sapiens (human). RNAcentral's name for it is "HSALNT0403518". Lineage: Eukaryota; Metazoa; Chordata; Mammalia; Primates; Hominidae. The record is from RNAcentral.
UUUUUUUUUUUUUUUUUUUUAGUGUUUACCUGGUAUAUUACUUUCAGCAUUUUUAUGUUGUUAGGUUUUAAGUCUGUCUUUUGUAAAUAGCAUAAAACUUAUUUUCCUUUUAAAUCUAGUCUUUGAAUUACUGUCUUUUAGUAGAUAAAUUUUAAUUUGUAUUCACUUUACUGUGAUUAUCAUUUCUUUGCAUUAUUUUUUUCUCCUUUCCUGUCAUAUGUUGGAUUAAUCCAGUUUUCCUUAUUUUCCCUUUCUUUUUACUUUGUGUUUUAGAAGUUAGUAUUUCAUUCAUAGGUGUACCAUUAUUUAUUCCCUAUUUAUGGUUGAUUUUUAAUUUUUGUUACUAUACUAAUACUUCAGUUAGUAGCCUUGUACAUAUAUAAUUCCACACGUGUGCUGGUAGCUCUGUAAAAUACAUUGUUGUACUUGAUUCCAGGUCAAAGAGUAUAUGUAUUUUAACUUUUAAUAAAUAUAGAUAGUCUUUUAAAGAUAAAUUUAUCCAAUAAGCAGAUUUUAUAUGUCAUAUGUGAUUACAUAUAUUGAAGGAAAGGGGAAAUAUUUUGUUUUAGGAGUGGCUACUACUGCAGUGUUAUUUUUGAAGCAUCUCAAAAUUGGUUAUUAUGUCAGGAUUGCCUGUUGAGAAAAAAAUUCUGCAGACAAAAUUUCAUAUAUUUAUAAUAUAUGAAUUUUUAUAUUUAUAAUAUUUCAUAUAUUUAUAGUAAUGAAAUUUCUUAAAGCAAACAUGGAUACUGCCUUCCUGAUCUGCAGGAUUUAGGGAAAACCAAACUGAUGCUUGAGCGUCUGUAAGGAAUCCAUACAAGUCAACUUGAAAAACAAUUUCUCAAAUUGGGACACGCAUAUGCCAGGUAUAGGCAGUCCUCAAUAUUGGAACAAGUUGAAUUUCCAACAUCAGUGGGUACUUAGAUACAUUUUCUCAUUCAAUUUAAGCAACUGAGCAAGGUCCUGAGCUGGGUGUAAUACCAAAAAAUUGAAAAGGAUUCUCCUUUCCUACAGAAGCUCAAUCUAGAAGAGACGAUAAUGUAUACACAAGUAACAAACCAAACGUGGGGCACAAUGCGAAGCACGUUUAUGGAGGAGCUAUAAUCUGCUUUGGGAGUAUGGAGGAGAAAGAUCACUUUUGGCUGUAACCCUUUUUGGAGUUCUUUUACUAUGUGCUUGGCCUGGAUUAAGGGAGCACAUUGCUGAGUGGCCAGCAUUUGAGAAAGGACAGAAUUUUCCUAAGUGGAGACUGGGUAUGAUUGUUGAAGCCUUGCAGCACAGGUGAAAGGGUGAGAUGGGAUGGCAGUGACAUUUGUGGCUGUCUCAUUAGUCAACCCACUCCUUGCAAAGCAAGAACUGGCACCCAAUUCCUUCUCAUUGACUUUCCCUCUCUGUUGCACUAGGCAGCAGCUGAUAGAUUGGGGUUAGUAUCAGGUCAUUGGUUGGUUGCAGCUUUUGGUAGAACAUAGGGCAGCUGGUUUUGGGGUGGUGGGUCGGGGGAGCGGGGGAAGUCAGGUGUAUUUUAUUGAGGUGGUUAGGAUGGUUUUGGUGAUGAGAGAUGAUGAAACUUCAUUGGAAUUUCAUUGCUGCUUAUCUCCAGAGAGGUCAACCACAAGACAUCUCUUAUUACUUAGCCUAUGUUGCAGACUCUCAUUACACAGUGAAUAGUGUGUAAACAGAUCCAUAUGUUGCAGGAUUUCUGCUGAGCACCAUUCCUAGUAGCCACAUCAACAGUAGCAUCGUAUAUAAAACCACUACUUCCUCAGAGUUGGUUUAGGAACCACCUGAAUCUGAACUACCUGGUCAGCCUGUUAAAAAUGUAGUGUCCUCAGCUCCAUUACAGUAUUAGAAUCUCUGGGAGUGGGAGCCUGGGAGCUUGGGAACAUGCAUCUUGACAAGCUUCCCAGGUGAGAAUCCUUUGAUCUUCAGUUAUAUGUAGAACUUUUCACUGUGAUGAACUUUUAUUUACCAAAAAUCAUUUCUUUCAGCUUAGUGGUAUAGUGAAAAUGAAAUGUUCACUGUAUUUAAACUCAUUUCUGUUUUUAGACUUGGACUUAGAAAACUAAUGGUGUGAUUAAGUCAGUAAACAUUUGAAAGGGAUAUGAAUAUGCAAGAUCGUGUUUCAUCCCUCAAGGAUAUCACUUCUUCUAUUGCAGUCAUUUAUACCCCAAAGAAAUGUGAUACAAGCAAUGGAGGUUUGCCUACAAACGAAUCUAUCUGAAAAUGUCCCCGUCUACUAUUUAGAGAUUCCUUUGGGGAAAGCACUACCCAGUGGCUUUGGUUUUGACUACAUAAAGGAAGUAUGACUUAAAGAGUCCUCUGUGUUUCAAACUACUUGUCUUAGGCAGAGGGUUGAUUAAAAAAAAGAACAAGAUGAAUUUGCUACUUCCUUUUAGAGUCUGAUUUUACUCUCUCAGAUAAAGUGACAUUUCUCCCACAGGUUUCUGAUUUCAGUGUUACUAUAACAGAACCUAGAAGUUAGAGUAUCAUUCAAGUAUGUGGUCUCCUGCAGUACAAGAGGGGAAUCACCUUUUCUUUUAUUUAAUAAUGAAACCAGCUAGAUAUAAAAAUGUGACUAAGUUCAAAAGAAACGUAUGAAGUAAAAAAUUCCCCAGUGAAUAUAUUUUGACAGGGCAGAAUAUCGUGGUUUGGAAAUUUCCAAACCAAGGAAAUAUAUUAUUCUUACUGAUAGUAUUUUUUUUUAAACUUUACUGUUUUCUGAGAUGAAUUAGUUGAUGAUGAAAAAAUUUGGGUUAAAUGAUGUCACUUCAGGAAUUCAAUUCAUUUUACAGAAUUUCAGUCAAUAAAGAUUGUAAAAACAAGGACUUUUUUUCCCCCUUACAGGGUCCUGGACACAGUAAAUGCUCAAUAAAUACAUAUUAAUAAUGUAGUGUUAGUGCCACCCCAGCCAAUAUAACUCGCCCUUUUCUUAAAAGAUGUGUUUAAUUUGUAUUGAAGGUAAAUUGCUGGCAUACUAUUCUACCCAUAAAUUUUAUUCCUGUUCUUUAAAGAUAACAUAUGAGCACAGGUAUUAAAAUAAAUAUAUUUAGUAUACUAAUUAGCUUUUUCCCUCUUUUUAAAUAUACAUACGAAUUGCCUGAUUAGAGCACUCAGAAAAGUGACAGUGUUUUUGAUAAUGUGUUAUAUAUAUUAAAAAUUCUAAUAGCUUUUUUUAUUUGUUCAAACUCUAAAUGUAUAUUGAAAUAAAACAUGUCACACAGGUCCCCUUUUGUUCUCAAACACAACCUUGUCAUACAGGCAUGAUGAAUUCCGAACACUGCAGAGAAAUGAGAAGUUUGUCUAAAUAUACUAUAGAACCUUAGGUCAUAUUUAAAACACAAUGAUAGAUGAAAAACAUUAAUGAACAGAAGAAAGGAGAAAUAUCCCAGAAAAAAAAAAAA